AGGUGGUGCAUGGUUGUCGUCAGCUCGUGUCGUGAGAUGUUGGGUUAAGUCCCGCAACGAGCGCAACCCUUGUCCUUAGUUGCCAGCAUUCAGUUGGGCACUCUAAGGAGACUGCCGGUGACAAACCGGAGGAAGGUGGGGAUGACGUCAAAUCAUCAUGCCCCUUAUGACCUGGGCUACACACGUGCUACAAUGGAUGGUACAAAGGGCUGCGAGACCGCGAGGCUUAGCCAAUCCCAUAAAACCAUUCUCAGUUCGGAUUGUAGGCUGCAACUCGCCUACAUGAAGCCGGAAUCGCUAGUAAUCGUGGAUCAGCAUGCCACGGUGAAUACGUUCCCGGGUCUUG
This 346-nucleotide ribosomal RNA is filed under the name uncultured bacterium. Its description in RNAcentral is "bacterial SSU rRNA". It matches the Rfam family "Bacterial small subunit ribosomal RNA", at positions 1036 to 1383 of the family's 1533-position model. The record is from RNAcentral.